RNAcentral lists this ribosomal RNA (406 nucleotides) under uncultured bacterium. RNAcentral describes it as "partial 16S ribosomal RNA". It matches the Rfam family "Bacterial small subunit ribosomal RNA", at positions 30 to 526 of the family's 1533-position model. The record is from RNAcentral.
AUUGAACGCUGGCGGCAGGCCUAACACAUGCAAGUCGAGCGAGCGGCGGACGGGUGAGUAAUGUAUGGGGAUCUGCCUGAUGGAGGGGGCUCACUACUGGGAACGGUAGCUGAUAACGCAUACCAACGGAUGAACCCAUUUGGGAUUAGCUUGUAGGUAAGGUAACGGCUUACCUAGGCGACGAUCCCUAGCUGGUCUGAGAGGAUGAUCAGCCACACUGGGACUGAGACACGGCCCAGACUCCUACGGGAGGCAGCAGUGGGGAAUAUUGCACAAUGGGCGCAAGCCUGAUGCAGCCAUGCCGCGUGUAUGAAGAAGGCCUUCGGGUUGUAAAGUACUUUCAGUCGGGAGGCGUUACCGACAGAAGAAGCACCGGCUAACUCCGUGCCAGCCGCCGCGGUAAUUC